ACUAAAACAUAACCUGGCCAGAGGUCUGAGUUCUGAGAAGAGACAGCAUCACAAGGCUGGAGUGACCAUUGGCAGGAGGUACUAGAGGAGAAAGAGCCACAACCAGCCAUGAGGGAGUGCUCCAGUGGACUGGAUCAUCUCCAUCUGUGAGAGUGUGCUUUGGCAGCCUAGAGGGCAGCUUUACAGUCUGUCACUUACUCCUGCUUAUUGUUCAACAAGGAUCUUUUUGAAGUACGUCACUCAGUGAACCACUUGCUCCAGAAUGACUUCACCAGCACAUCUCUCUGUUGCUGGGCCUGAUGAAUUGUCUAACUGCAAUGCACUCCCAACAGGAGUUUAGGACAUAUCUCCGUGAGUGCAAGGAACCCUAAAAUAGAUUCAUCUUUAACUACA
Mauremys reevesii (Reeves's turtle) is the source of this 393-nucleotide long non-coding RNA. RefSeq lists it as uncharacterized. The record is from RefSeq and is a predicted model, not a curated record. NCBI's taxonomy places the organism in Eukaryota, Metazoa, Chordata, Testudines, Geoemydidae. The transcript has 2 exons.